UACGGAGGAUGCAAGCGUUAUCCGGAUUUAUUGGGUUUAAAGGGUGCGUAGGCGGGACUGUAAGUCAGGGGUGAAAUACUGCAGCUUAACUGUAGCAUUGCCUUUGAAACUGCCGUUCUUGAGUACAGUCGAGGUAGGCGGAAUGUGGUGUGUAGCGGUGAAAUGCAUAGAUAUACCACAGAACGCCGAUUGCGAAGGCAGCUUACUAAGCUGUUACUGACGCUGAGGCACGAAAGCGUGGGGAUCAAACAGGAUUAGA
Molecule: ribosomal RNA, 259 nt
Filed under: uncultured prokaryote
Description: partial 16S ribosomal RNA
Rfam family: Bacterial small subunit ribosomal RNA
Source: RNAcentral